CUCAGUCUCAGGUGAAGGGUUCAGCAGUGGGUCGGAUGAUCAAGAUGGAAUACAAUAUUUUAGUAGGUACCUGUGAGUGAAACCAGUCACUUAGUGACUCCUUGAAUUCUGCAGCGCAAGUGCAAAGUCAGUGUUUUGAAGAAACAAUAAUCCCAAAUCAAGAAAAAAAGAGAAGUGGCUGAGUAUGCCAAGUUUUUGGCAAAGGAGACCAAGGGAAGACUCUAAGGACAGAUUUUCAAGGAAAGGAAGAGAGUAGUACAUGUGUUUGAGACACUAGGGAAAAGUUAUAGAAGACUUGUGGUUACCAGGCAAGAUGAACAUCAGGAGGCAGGAUUUAAGGAGG
This is a long non-coding RNA of Mauremys mutica (yellowpond turtle), 343 nucleotides long. RefSeq lists it as uncharacterized. The transcript has 4 exons. NCBI's taxonomy places the organism in Eukaryota, Metazoa, Chordata, Testudines, Geoemydidae. The record is from RefSeq and is a predicted model, not a curated record.